UAAUAAUUUACUAAUAAUAUUAAGUAUUUAUUUUAAAGUAAUAAAAAUAAUUUUAUAUAAAAUAUUGUUUAGUAUUUUUUAAAAAAAAAAUAAUUUUAGUAAUAGUUUAUAAAGUAUAGUAAUAGAAAAUUGAAAUAAUUUAAAAAUAUAGGAUAAGUAAAUUUUAUUUAUUGUACCUUUUGUAUCAGGGUUGAUUAAAAAGUUAAUAAAAAUUUUAUUAAUCUCGAAUUUAAGAGAGUUAAAAAUUUAUAAAAGUUACCAUGUUAAAGUUAUUUUUAAUAAGUUUUUAGUAAUGAAAAGUUAGUCGUUCUUAAAUAUAUCUAGUUUUUAAAGAAAUGAAUUUAAUUCAGAUGAUAUAUUUAAUUAGUUUAUUUUUUUAAAAAUAAUUUAAUAUAUUAUUAAUAUUUUAAGGGAUUAGCUUUAAAAUAUAAAUUAUAAAUUUAUAAAAAUGUUAAAAAAUUGUAGAAUUAGAAAUUUUUAUCAGUAAUUAAAAUGUUAUAAUUAAUUUAAUUAAUAUAAAAAUUUAUUUAAAUUUUAAUUUGUUUAUUUAAAUUAAAUUAUUAAUAAUUAAUAAUUUGUAAUUAUGAUUAAAUUAGUAUUAAAUAUUUGUAUAAAUAAAUUAUAUAAUUAUAGAUUUAAAUAAGGAAUUCAGCAAAAUUAUACUCACCUGUUUAUCAAAAACAUGUCUUUUUGAGUAAAAUUUAAAGUCUAACCUGCCCACUGAUUUAUUAAAGGGCCGCGGUAUAUUGACUGUGCAAAGGUAGCAUAAUCAUUUGUCUUUUAAUUGAAGGCUGGAAUGAAUGGUUGAAUGAAGUAUAAGCUGUCUCAUUUAAAAAAAAAUAAAAAUUUAGCUUUUAAGUUAAAAGGCUUAAAUAAAUUUAAAGGACGAGAAGACCCUAUAGAUCUUUAUAUUUUAUUUAAAUUAAUAAAUUUUAGAUAAAUAAAGUUUUAAUUUAUAAUAAUAUUUGGUUGGGGUGACUAGAAAAUUUAAUAAACUAUUUUUAUUUAAUUACAUUGAUGUAUGAAUUAUUGAUCCAAUAAUAUUGAUUAAAAAAUUAAGUUACCUUAGGGAUAACAGCGUAAUUUUUUUAGAGAGUUCUUAUCGAUAAAAUAGAUUGCGACCUCGAUGUUGAAUUAAAGAUUAUAUUUAGAUGCAGAAGUUUAAAUGUUAGGUCUGUUCGACCUUUAAAUCUUUACAUGAUUUGAGUUCAGACCGGUGUGAGCCAGGUCGGUUUCUAUCCUUAAUUAUGUAAUAUAUUUUAGUACGAAAGGACCAAAUAUAUAAAUUAGAUUUUUAAAAUUAGAAUAAUAUUAAUAUAA
This 1320-nucleotide ribosomal RNA is filed under the name Osmylidae sp. EMHAU-20151229-16. Its description in RNAcentral is "16S ribosomal RNA". The stretch from base 621 to 1320 matches the Rfam family "Archaeal large subunit ribosomal RNA", at positions 1423 to 2881 of the family's 2987-position model. The record is from RNAcentral. Lineage: Eukaryota; Metazoa; Arthropoda; Insecta; Neuroptera; Osmylidae.